This 825-nucleotide long non-coding RNA is filed under the name Brachypodium distachyon (stiff brome). Its description in RNAcentral is "long non-coding RNA (BDIS_LNC001424)". Lineage: Eukaryota; Viridiplantae; Streptophyta; Magnoliopsida; Poales; Poaceae. The record is from RNAcentral.
AUAUCCAUAACUUUAUCUGAACCACCUUUUGGCAUUAUCUUUCUGAGAGAAAAACGUGUAUCAUGUUACCCAUAGCUUCAUCUCAACCACCUUUUGGCAUUAUCUUUCUGAGCAAAAACAUACUUUUUAUAGUUUCCCCCUUUGUUCAAACAUAAUCCCCCUUUUUUAUAUGCAUUCUCCAAAAAUUGGCCACAAUUAUCUUGGUAUACCAUAACCUAGAGAGAAUAACCCUAGUGCUUUGGUCCAUGAUUCUGACCUAUUUCAUGUAACCUGUUUGGUCCACAUGUCGAGGGAUGAAAUAUUGUCCUCAGUACAGUAUGGUCCUCGUACAUGGUUUGUUUGAAUGUGGGGGAAACGGUAAUAGCCCUACUCCUGCCUUGUUUAUAUUAUCCGGAACUCAGAGUACAGAAGUGUUUACAAUGGGGGGUAUCUGCUGAGUCGGGAUGACUCGGCGGGUUUGGAUCUGUUGUAGAUUGUAGGCUCUGGAACCUUGUGGACCCCUGGCCACCCUUUUAUAUGUGCGGUAUGGCGCUUACUCCGCGCAUCCUUGUAAAACUCCAUGUCGCGCUGGGCAGGUGUCCUAGCCUGAUAUGAGUGGAACCUGUAUUAUACCUUCCAUCUAUCUUUCAAGGUUUUCUUUUGGCCCCAUAGGGUACUCCCAAAAAGGUUGGUGGGUCCCUGAAUGGGCCUGGCUUAGGUUUGGCUCAUAAGUACAUAUUCCAAAACUUGCUCAACUGUAUUAUACCUUCCGUCCUAUAUAUUUGUACAAUGGAAUAACUAUUCCUCAACAAACCCUUAGUUUCUCAUUAAACUAUGUGGAACCGG